This 253-nucleotide ribosomal RNA is filed under the name uncultured bacterium. RNAcentral describes it as "partial 16S ribosomal RNA". It matches the Rfam family "Bacterial small subunit ribosomal RNA", at positions 524 to 776 of the family's 1533-position model. The record is from RNAcentral.
UACAGAGGUCCCGAGCGUUGUUCGGAUUCACUGGGCGUAAAGGGUGCGUAGGUGGUGAGGUAAGUCGGAUGUGAAAGCUCCAAGCUCAACUUGGAAAUGGCAUUGGAAACUACCUUGCUAGAGGGUUUGAGGGGGGACUGGAAUACUUGGUGUAGCAGUGAAAUGCGUAGAUAUCAGGAGGAACACCGAUGGCGAAGGCAGGUCUCUGGGCUGACACUGACGCUCAUGCACGAAAGCGUGGGGAGCAAACAGG